RNAcentral lists this ribosomal RNA (318 nucleotides) under uncultured bacterium. RNAcentral's name for it is "bacterial SSU rRNA". It matches the Rfam family "Bacterial small subunit ribosomal RNA", at positions 194 to 507 of the family's 1533-position model. The record is from RNAcentral.
GGGGGAUCGCAAGACCUCUCACUAUUGGAGCGGCCGAUAUCGGAUUAGCUAGUUGGUGGGGUAAAGGCCUACCAAGGCGACGAUCCGUAGCGGGUCUGAGAGGAUGAUCCGCCACACUGGGACUGAGACACGGCCCAGACUCCUACGGGAGGCAGCAGUGGGGAAUUUUGGACAAUGGGCGAAAGCCUGAUCCAGCCAUGCCGCGUGAGUGAAGAAGGCCUUCGGGUUGUAAAGCUCUUUCAGCCGGAAAGAAAUCGCGCAGGAUAAUACUCUGCGUGGAUGACGGUACCGGCAGAAGAAGCACCGGCUAACUACGUG